UCCUGGCUCAGGAUGAACGCUGGCGGCGUGCUUAACACAUGCAAGUCGAACGGAGUUUAGAUGAAAGCUUGCUUUGACUAAACUUAGUGGCGGACGGGUGAGUAACGCGUGGGUAACCUGCCUUAUACAGGGGGAUAACAGUCGGAAACGACUGCUAAUACCGCAUAAGCGCACGGAAUCGCAUGAUUCAGUGUGAAAAGAUUUAUCGGUAUAAGAUGGACCCGCGUCUGAUUAGCUAGUUGGUGAGGUAACGGCCCACCAAGGCGACCGAUCAGUAGCCGGCCUGAGAGGGUGAACGGCCACAUUGGGACUGAGACACGGCCCAAACUCCUACGGGAGGCAGCAGUGGGAAUAUUGCACAAUGGGGGAAACCCUGAUGCAAGCGACGCCGCGUGAGUGAAGAAGUAUUUCGGUAUGUAAAGCUCUAUCAGCAGGGAAGAAAAUGACGGUACCUGACUAAGAAGCCCCGGCUAACUACGUGCCAGCCGCAGC
RNAcentral lists this ribosomal RNA (492 nucleotides) under uncultured bacterium. Its description in RNAcentral is "bacterial SSU rRNA". It matches the Rfam family "Bacterial small subunit ribosomal RNA", at positions 17 to 518 of the family's 1533-position model. The record is from RNAcentral.